CCAUCGGUGUUCCUCCACAUCUCUACGCAUUUCACUGCUACACGUGGAAUUCCACCCCCCUCUGCCACACUCAAGCCCGCUAGUUUCAAGCGCAAUUCCCAGGUUAAGCCCGGGGAUUUCACACCUGACUUGGCGAACCGCCUGCGCACGCUUUACGCCCAGUAAUUCCGAUUAACGCUCGCACCCUACGUAUUACCGCGGCUGCUGGCACGUAGUUAGCCGGUGCUUCUUCUUACGGUACCGUCAGUAACCGGCGUUAUUCACGCCAGCCGUUUCGUUCCGUCCGAAAGAGCUUUACAACCCGAAGGCCUUCUUCACUCACGCGGCAUGGCUGGAUCAGGGUUGCCCCCAUUGUCCAAAAUUCCCCACUGCUGCCUCCCGUAGGAGUCUGGGCCGUGUCUCAGUCCCAGUGUGGCUGAUCAUCCUCUCAGACCAGCUACGGAUCGUCGCCUUGGUGGGCCUUUACCCCACCAACUAGCUAAUCCGACAUCGGCCACUCCUGCAGCGCGAGGCCCGAAGGUCCCCCGCUUUCCUCCUCAGAGCGUAUGCGGUAUUAAUCCGGCUUUCGCCGAGCUAUCCCCCACUCCAGGACAUGUUCCGAUGUAUUACUCACCCGUUCGCCACUCGUCGCCAGGGUUGCCCCCGCGUUACCGUUCGACUUGCAUGUGUAAAGCAUGCCGCCAGCGUUCAAUCUGAGCCAGGAUCAAACUCU
This 712-nucleotide ribosomal RNA is filed under the name uncultured bacterium. RNAcentral's name for it is "partial 16S ribosomal RNA". The record is from RNAcentral.